RNAcentral lists this ribosomal RNA (200 nucleotides) under uncultured eukaryote. RNAcentral's name for it is "partial 18S ribosomal RNA". It matches the Rfam family "Eukaryotic small subunit ribosomal RNA", at positions 588 to 799 of the family's 1831-position model. The record is from RNAcentral.
GCUCCAAUAGCGUAUAUUAAAGUUGUUGCAGUUAAAAAGCUCGUAGUUGGAUUUGUGGUGGCGCCUGAGGUCCAUUUGUUGGUACUAUCGGGCGCUGCCAUCCUUGGGUGGAAUCUGUGUGGCAUUAGGUUGUCGUGCAGGGGAUGCCAUCGUUUACUGUGAAAAAAUCAGCGCGUUCAAAGCAGGCUUAUGCCGUUGAA